This 542-nucleotide ribosomal RNA is filed under the name Salmonella enterica. RNAcentral's name for it is "bacterial SSU rRNA". It matches the Rfam family "Bacterial small subunit ribosomal RNA", at positions 561 to 1102 of the family's 1533-position model. RNAcentral also lists the same sequence under 1 other name. Lineage: Bacteria; Pseudomonadati; Pseudomonadota; Gammaproteobacteria; Enterobacterales; Enterobacteriaceae. The record is from RNAcentral.
UAAAGCGCACGCAGGCGGUCUGUCAAGUCGGAUGUGAAAUCCCCGGGCUCAACCUGGGAACUGCAUUCGAAACUGGCAGGCUUGAGUCUUGUAGAGGGGGGUAGAAUUCCAGGUGUAGCGGUGAAAUGCGUAGAGAUCUGGAGGAAUACCGGUGGCGAAGGCGGCCCCCUGGACAAAGACUGACGCUCAGGUGCGAAAGCGUGGGGAGCAAACAGGAUUAGAUACCCUGGUAGUCCACGCCGUAAACGAUGUCUACUUGGAGGUUGUGCCCUUGAGGCGUGGCUUCCGGAGCUAACGCGUUAAGUAGACCGCCUGGGGAGUACGGCCGCAAGGUUAAAACUCAAAUGAAUUGACGGGGGCCCGCACAAGCGGUGGAGCAUGUGGUUUAAUUCGAUGCAACGCGAAGAACCUUACCUGGUCUUGACAUCCACGGAAGUUUUCAGAGAUGAGAAUGUGCCUUCGGGAACCGUGAGACAGGUGCUGCAUGGCUGUCGUCAGCUCGUGUUGUGAAAUGUUGGGUUAAGUCCCGCAACGAGCGCAAC